UAGGGAAUCUUCGGCAAUGGGGGGAACCCUGACCGAGCAACGCCGCGCGAGUGAAGAAGGUUUUCGGAUCGUAAAGCUCUGUUGUUAAGGAAGAACGAGUGUGAGAAUGGAAAGUUCAUACUGUGACGGUACUUAACCAGAAAGGGACGGCUAACUACGUGCCAGCAGCCGCGGUAAUACGUAGGUCCCGAGCGUUGUCCGGAUUUAUUGGGCGUAAAGCGAGCGCAGGCGGUUAGAUAAGUCUGAAGUUAAAGGCAGUGGCUCAACCAUUGUAGGCUUUGGAAACUGUUUAACUUGAGUGCAGAAGGGGAGAGUGGAAUUCCAUGUGUAGCGGUGAAAUGCGUAGAUAUAUGGAGGAACACCGGUGGCGAAAGCGGCUCUCUGGUCUGUAACUGACGCGGAGGCUCGAAAGCGUGGGGAGCGAACAGG
Molecule: ribosomal RNA, 429 nt
Filed under: Bacteroidota bacterium
Lineage: Bacteria; Pseudomonadati; Bacteroidota
Description: Bacteroidetes bacterium partial 16S ribosomal RNA
Rfam family: Bacterial small subunit ribosomal RNA
Source: RNAcentral